RNAcentral lists this ribosomal RNA (411 nucleotides) under uncultured bacterium. RNAcentral describes it as "bacterial SSU rRNA". It matches the Rfam family "Bacterial small subunit ribosomal RNA", at positions 29 to 484 of the family's 1533-position model. The record is from RNAcentral.
AACGAACGCUGGCGGCAUGCCUAACACAUGCAAGUCGAACGAGACCUUCGGGUCUAGUGGCGCACGGGUGCGUAACACGUGGGAAUUUGCCUCGGGGUAUGGAAUAACUCAGGGAAACUUGAGCUAAUACCAUAUAAUGUCUUCGGACCAAAGAUUUAUCGCCCUGAGAUAAGCCCGCGUAGGAUUAGCUAGUUGGUGGGGUAAAGGCUCACCAAGGCGACGAUCCUUAGCUGGUCUGAGAGGAUGAUCAGCCACACUGGGACUGAGACACGGGCCCAGACUCCUACGGGAGGCAGCAGUGGGGAAUAUUGGACAAUGGGCGAAAGCCUGAUCCAGCAAUGCCGCGUGAGUGAUGAAGGCCUUCGGUUGUAAGCUCUUUACUUCGGGUACGAGUAAUGACGGUACCGAGAG